This 451-nucleotide ribosomal RNA is filed under the name uncultured bacterium. RNAcentral's name for it is "bacterial SSU rRNA". It matches the Rfam family "Bacterial small subunit ribosomal RNA", at positions 29 to 524 of the family's 1533-position model. The record is from RNAcentral.
AACGAACGCUGGCGGCAGGCUUAACACAUGCAAGUCGAACGGGUGUAGCAAUACAUCAGUGGCAGACGGGUGAGUAACACGUGGGAACCUUCCUCGUUGUACGGGACAACUCAGGGAAACUUGAGCUAAUACCGUAUACGUCCGAGAGGAGAAAGAUUUAUCGCAAUGAGACGGGCCCGCGUCGGAUUAGCUAGUUGGUGGGGUAACGCCUACCAAGGCGACGAUCCGUAGCNGAUCUGAGAGGAUGAUCAGCCACACUGGGACUGAGACACGGCCCAGACUCCUACGGGAGGCAGCAGUGGGGAAUCUUGGACAAUCGGCGCAAGCCUGAUCCAGCCAUGCCGCGUGAGUGAAGAAGGCCUUAGGGUUGUAAAGCUCUUUUGCCAGGGACGAUAAUGACGGUACCUGGAGAAUAAGCCCCGGCAAACUUCGUGCCAGCAGCCGCCGUAAU